RNAcentral lists this unclassified non-coding RNA (346 nucleotides) under fungal sp. RNAcentral's name for it is "partial internal transcribed spacer region". The stretch from base 1 to 46 matches the Rfam family "Eukaryotic small subunit ribosomal RNA", at positions 1786 to 1831 of the family's 1831-position model. The record is from RNAcentral. Lineage: Eukaryota; Fungi.
AAGUCGUAACAAGGUAACCGUAGGUGAACCUGCGGUUGGAUCAUUAUUAAACUUGGUCUUUGUACCAACGCCUUGUGUGCACCAUAUCUGUCUUUGGCAGCUCGAGCGUUUUCAAAAGCGUCAUUGUGACUUUUUGGAUUCCUACCGUGCCCUGCAGCCCGUUUUGGGCGGCAAUGGGUUGAAUGCGGUUGGGUUGCCGACGGUUUUUUCAAUUUGAAAACCGACUUUUUUUUUAAUGUACACCACGUGAAUUUUUUCUUUUGCACUGCAGUAUUGAUUUCAAUCACUUUGGUGGUUCAAGUUAAUAUGUUUGAAACAACUUUUGACAACGGAUCUCUUGGCUCUC